AAACUUAAGAGUAUGAUUCUGGCUCAGGAUGAACGCUGGCGGCGUGCUUAACACAUGCAAGUCGAACGAAGAGGAUAAGAAAGAGCGCUUCGGCAGGAUUUUUUAUCAUCUUAGUGGCGGACGGGUGAGUAACGUGUGGGCAACCUGCCCUGUACUGUGGAAUAAUCAUUGGAAACGAUGACUAAUACCGCAUGUGGUCCUCAGAGGGCAUCCUCAGAGGAAGAAAGGAUACGUUCGGUACAGGAUGGGCCCGCAUCUGAUUAGCUAGUUGGUGAGAUAACAGCCC
Molecule: ribosomal RNA, 286 nt
Filed under: Candidatus Borkfalkia excrementigallinarum
Lineage: Bacteria; Bacillati; Bacillota; Clostridia; Christensenellales; Christensenellaceae
Description: partial 16S ribosomal RNA
Rfam family: Bacterial small subunit ribosomal RNA
Source: RNAcentral